CCUACGGGAGGCUGCAGUGAGGAAUAUUGGUCAAUGGACGAGAGUCUGAACCAGCCAAGUAGCGUGAAGGAUGACUGCCCUAUGGGUUGUAAACUUCUUUUAUCCAGGACUAAAACGAGCCACGAGUGCCUUUUUGCAUGUACUUUAUGCAUAAGGCUCGGCCAACCACGUGCCAGCAGACGCGGUAAUACGGAGGAUCCGAGAGUUAUCCGGAUGUAUUGGGUUUAAAGGGAGAUUAGAUGGGUUGUUAAGUCAGUGGUUAAAGAUUGGGUCUCAACCGUACAAUUGCAAUUGAGACUGGCAGUCUGGAGUACAGUUGAGGUAUGCGGAAUUCGGGGUGUAGCGGUGAAAUGCUUAGAUAUCACGAAGAACCCCGAUUGCGAAGGCAGCUUACUAAACUGUGACUGACAUUGAUGCUCGAAAGUGUGGGUAUCAAACAGGAUUAGAUACCCGGGUAGUC
RNAcentral lists this ribosomal RNA (460 nucleotides) under uncultured bacterium. RNAcentral's name for it is "partial 16S ribosomal RNA". It matches the Rfam family "Bacterial small subunit ribosomal RNA", at positions 338 to 795 of the family's 1533-position model. The record is from RNAcentral.